RNAcentral lists this ribosomal RNA (468 nucleotides) under uncultured bacterium. RNAcentral describes it as "partial 16S ribosomal RNA". It matches the Rfam family "Bacterial small subunit ribosomal RNA", at positions 28 to 507 of the family's 1533-position model. The record is from RNAcentral.
GACGAACGCUGGCGGCGUGCUUAACACAUGCGAGUCGAACGGAAAGGCCCUGCUUUUGUGGGGUGCUCGAGUGGCGAACGGGUGAGUAACACGUGAGUAACCUGCCCUUGACCUUGGGAUAACUUCAGGAAACUGGGGCUAAUACCGGAUAGGAGCUCCUGCUGCAUGGUGGGGGUUGGAAAGUUUCGGCGGUUGGGGAUGGACUCGCGGCUUAUCAGCUUGUUGGUGGGGUAGUGGCUUACCAAGGCUUUGACGGGUAGCCGGCCUGAGAGGGUGACCGGCCACAUUGGGACUGAGAUACGGCCCAGACUCCUACGGGAGGCAGCAGUGGGGAAUAUUGCACAAUGGGCGGAAGCCUGAUGCAGCAACGCCGCGUGCGGGAUGACGGCCUUCGGGUUGUAAACCGCUUUCGCCUGUGACGAAGCGUGAGUGACGGUAAUGGGUAAAGAAGCACCGGCUAACUACGUG